RNAcentral lists this long non-coding RNA (13186 nucleotides) under Podarcis lilfordi (Lilford's wall lizard). Lineage: Eukaryota; Metazoa; Chordata; Lepidosauria; Squamata; Lacertidae. The record is from RNAcentral.
GGUAACUUCCUGGCGAGGAAAGCCACAGCAAAACUUACAGUGGCCAGGCAGCUCAUGUAGAUGAGGACACAGUAAAACAUUGUCACAGACCCUUCAUUACAUUCUAGUAUAAUUUCUUCUGUCAUUGAGUGCAUGUCCACAUCUGGGUAUGGGGGAGAGGUUGCCAGCCACACAGUACAUAUCCCUGCUUGAACUAUGGAACAGGAAAGGAGAAUGGAGUGGCCUAGUUCUUUCCCCACCCAUUUCCUCAUCCUGGAUUCUGGUUUUGUAGCCAUGAAGGCCAAAACCACCAUGAAGGUUUUUGCCAGGACACAAGAAACAGCGGUUGAGAAGAUGAUACCAAAAGCUGGUUGCCGGAGGAGACAUGUGACCUUCUCAGGUCGGCCAAUGAAGAGCAAAGCAGAAAGGAAGCAGAGCAGGAGAGAGAUGAGGAGAGCGUAGGUGAGGUUUCGGUUGUUUGCAAUGACAAUGGGUGUGUCAUGGUGCUUCAUAAAUGUACCUAGUACCAGAACUGUGAUCAGAGAAAGGAAAAGAGAGAAGCAGGCUAAACUGAUGCCCAAAGGUUCUUCAUAAGACAAGAAGCUGAUAUCCUUGGGUAGACAGGCAUCACGGUUCCGGCUUGGAUAGUCUUUGUCUGGGCAUUUAUUACAGUCAUUCAUAUCUGGGGGGAAACAAAUAUAUUAGGUCACAGAUUUCAGUUUGCUGAAAUGUUUACUUUCUGUCUGAGAAGAAAAGAGCUCUGUUUAAAUCCAAGUACAUGUUUAGUACAGUCUUAUGCAAUGCAAUGUGGUAUUGUUGCAAUCUAACCUUUCUCUGUGUCAUGGAUAUGCCACUAAAGCACAUGAGACCGUGAGGGGAAAAGUACAGUGGUACUUUGGGUUACAUACGCUUCAGGUUAAAUAUGCUUCAGGUUACAGACUCCGCUAACCCAGAAAUAAUACCUCGGGUUAAGAACUUUGCUUCAGGAUGAGAACAGAAAUCGCGCGGCGGCUCAGCGGCGGCGCGAGGCCCCAUUAGCUAAAGUGGUACUUCAGGUUAAGAACAGUUUCAGGAUAAGAAUGGAUCUCCAGAAUGAAUUAAGUAUGCAACCAGAGGUACCACUGUAGUCCAAAAUGUUUAAUUCUGCGCAGAAGGUUCAACUGGGAAUAAUUAACCUAACUAACCUAAAACAACUAAACGUCGUACAAAGACUUCGAAACAGUUUUAUACGUUUGGCACAAAUUCCACACAUUCCAUUAAGUUUAAAUUUCCUAUCCAAUUGAAACGCUUUGUUUCCCUCACCCUAUUUCCUCUUAAGGCACUUUGUUGUCUCCUUAUGAUUGGUCCAAAUUACAAACAGUGUAAGCAUGCAUACUGACUCCCAGUUUAAAUAAAGGAGCUUCCUCGUUUUCUGCUAAAAUUUUAUUGCAGAAUUAGAUUUCCACUUCAGUAUUUUAUUUCACUCUAGUUACCGUGAAUAGUCUGACCACAGUCCAAGCAUGCUCAGUAUGUCAAAACCUUAUAUGGUAUAAUUAUCUGUAUUUAAUUACUGCCGUAUUCUUGAAUUUAAUUGGUUCAGAGGUAUGUUGUCCUGUAAGUGCCACAGCCAGUGCCAUUGCCAUCUGAAUGUUUAUUGACACUAGCCAGGGUGCAGCCUGUGUAAGUCAGAAGGAGUGCCACAGCCCCCUCUAGAUAUGCUCAGGACGCAAGGUAGAAAUGUGCAAAGAGAAAGGCAUGAUCCGGAAACCAAUAUCCCCACUGUGGAAGGACAUGUGGAUUCAGAAUUUGCCUCCACAGUCACUUAUGGACUCAUUGUGAAAACUUUGCUUAUGGAAGACAAUCUUACUCGGCUAUGAGUAAUCGAAGAAGCAGAAGAGGGAUCAUUUUUAAGGGUGCUCCUGGUUGCGGUCAGGCCCCCAACCCGGCCCCCCCCGGCGUGGGCGGAGCAACGCCAUCAUGCCAGGGUGGCACCACGAUCACCCCAGCUUUUUGGCCAAUCAUUUUUCUGUGGGGUGAUUGUGGGGGGAUAUAAAAGCUGCAGCGUGAGGCGUGUCAGGAACCUGCUUCACACUGCUUCACACCCACCCUCCCUUUAUUUUAUGUGUCCUCUGGCCUUGCUUUGUUUUUGGUUGGUCACCUGUCUUGGGCCCGGGGCCAGGUAGGAAUGUUUCCAUUUGGCAGAUUGGCAAUGGCCACUUGGCUUUCGCCUACCUCUUAGCAAUCGUCACAACUUUGUAAGGUUUGGUGGUUAGGCAUUGGCUCAUUGAUUUGUGGGGGAGGGGAAGCCAGCCAUCUCCUCCAACUCCAUUGACCAAGGGUAUUCCGUUAAAGGAUUUCAGGGCCUGGUUAAAGGAUUCCAGGGCCAAUACCACUCACAUUUAGUUGUGGCCUAAAAUUUUGCCCAAUAACCUUAAAUAAAGAUUCUGUGUCAGUGUGAAUUUUAUUCUAACAAGGAGCUGGUUUGGGGGUCUUGCCAUGUCAGAAGAAGAAGAAGAAGAAGAAGAAGAAGAAGAAGAAGAAGAAGAAGAAGUGCUUUGGACCACAUACCAUCCAACUACUCUCAAUGCAUGGUCAUUCUCAUUUGAUUAGCAUAUUUAACUAUCUGAAAGGCAAUGAUCACAAAGAGGCAGGAUCACACACACAGUAGAUUAUCUCUUUGGAAAAGUAAACUCAGCCAUCCUUACAACAGCUUUCGAUUAUUAGUGCUGAGUCUGAAUGUAUUUAAUCUAUUUAUUUCUCCUACCAUCCUGGAUUGCAAUCUUUCCCUCUGCACAUGGGAUGCAAUCGUAGCAGCAAGGUGGCUGUCCCUCCUUCACUUUCUUGCUGGAUCCUGGAAGACAUCUCUCAGUACAGAGAGAAAGAGGCCGAGUCUAUUCCGUAAAUGAAAGAGCAGAAGGAUCAGCAAGAGAACAAUGAGUUUGGAAAUCUUCAUGUUCCUGGGCCCCUCUCUAUGUUACGAAGCUGACUCAGCAUUCCAACAAUAUGUAAAAUGGUUUUAUUUUUUUAGUACCGUGGUACCUCGGGUUACAUACACUUCAGGUUACAUACGCUCCAGGUUACAGACUCCGCUAACCCAGAAAUAGUGCUUCAGGUUAAGUACUUUGCUUCAGGAUGAGAAGAGAAAUUGUGCUCCAGCGGCGCCGCAGCAGCAGGAGGCCCCAUUAGCUAAAGUGGUGCUUCAGGUUAAGAACAGUUUCAGGUUAAGAACGGACCUCCAGAACGAAUUAAGUACUUAACCCGAGGUACCACUGUAGUAGUAAUGUUUGAAGUGAUGUCAUACUCCCUCUAUUGUUCUGGGAUGUGUAGGUGUUGUGAUUACAUAGCAGUUCCCCACUUUUUAGCAAGAAAGGCAAAAUCUUGGGGCUUAUCCUCUUUUCCUCAGUUAAAAACCAGUAUUUUAUAAUUGUUAAGAAAUAUUUAUAAAAUAUUUGUAAAUAUAAUAAAAUAAAACAUUUGCCUUUAUUCCAUUAGUGACUUCUAGCAGUAAGCUUUUGGCUCUUAAUCUGGUACUUGGAUGAUGAAGAAGAAGUGUUUGGAUAGGAUAUCCUACUUUAUCACUACCCUAAGGAGUCUCAAAGCGGCUAACAUUCUCCUUUCCCUUCCUCCCCCACAACAAACACUAUGUGAGGUGAGUGAGGCUGAGAGACUUCAGAGAAGUGUGACUAGCCCAAGGUCACCCAGCAACUUUAUGUGGAAGAGCGGGGACACGAACCCGGUUCACCAGAUUACGAGUAUACUGCUCUUAGCCACUACACCACACUGGCUCUCUGUAUGCAUUGGUCAUGUUCUACACAGGAACAUGCAGUUUAAAAGACAGACAGUAGACAUGCAGGUGAAUGAUCAUUGCUUAGGCAAUACUGAAUUUCUUUGGAAUGAUCUAAUAAUGUGGUCCUACCUGAUUAAACCAACUGUGCCAUGUUAUGGCAUCUUCAUCAAGGAUGAAGGAUUGGUCUGGAGAAGCCUGCGGAUCUAUCCUCCCAACUCUCACUCUAUGCAAACUUUGGUUGGAGAAUAUAAUCCAAUUGACAAUAUCUAAGCUAGAUACCACCUCUCCAUUCCGGUUGAUGAAGACCACAUCUCCGGCCGUAUUGUUAAAUGAGAUGCUUCUCAGAAAGUGAUGGAGCUAGAUUGAAAACAGAAAAGGCAAUUGUUUCGAAAAGGCUGCAGUCUAAUGCAGGGUGGAGCAUUUUUUUUUCUUCCUGUAGGAAAAAACGACAGAAAUUGGUGGGGGUGAUUCAGUCAAGUGUCAGUGGAUUCAGGUCAAAGAAUGGAGAGAACACCAAUUUUCUCUUUCCCACACCCCUCUCUCUCCCUCUCCCCCUUUUUUACAACCUUUCUUUAUCUCCCCCACCCCCCACCUCUUUUCCUCUGUCCCUCUUCAUCUCAGGAGACACCACAGUGGUGUAUGAUCACAUGAUCUGAGGGAAGACUUGGAGCAUAUGGGAUAGAGAUAAUGCUGAACAUCUCUCUCAACCAUUACUGCCGCUUCUUAUCUUUGAAUGCAGUAACAUAUCAGUGGUCUGCAAACUUCUUUCAUAGAAGCACUUUUUCAUGUCUGAGAUGAAGGAGCAAGUUGACAACACUUUGGAAACCAAUCCCUUGUGGGGGAAUAACAGGCCUCUUCAAAUUGAGAAUGUUUAGCCUAUGACCUGCCAAAACUGUGGAUUCUGAUUCUUCCCUCUCCGUCCGUACGCCAUUCCUCUGUGCCUAAGUCUGAAUGUGGACAUGGCAUGUAAAGCAUGGGCCAAGGCGUAGACAGCAUUGUGGAUACUGUAACUGUGGCCUGUCAUGCUCAUUUCAAAAAAUGAUCCAGGAAGGUUCUCCAGCUUCUCUUCUCCUGUGCAAAUAUUCCCCUCCACCUUGUCUGAAGUGAUAUCUGGGAAUACACAUCCAAAGGCCUGUUGCCAGAAGUCCCUGAUAAAACCGUCCCCAUCUGGGCUGGAAGGGUUUCUGUGAACAACAUACUGAUGAAAUCCUGGUGGGUUUCUGAAGUGAAUCUCAAAGGAUAAAGUACCAUUGAAUAUUCCUGCAUCCCAGUUCCUUUGAAUGACAAAUGAAGUGAACUCAACAUGGGCAGUUGUUAUCCAUACUUUACUUUUUAUAUUGUAUGUCAUGUCAUCAUGUUCUGAUAGGUAUGGAAGCCAUCUAAAAGUUCCCAUGGAAUAAGAUUCUCCAUGGGCAACUAUUACAUUAGCUGUGCUGCUAAAAAUUUUAUGGUUUGUACUUGUCCCGUGUUGUAGCAUGCCAUCAAUUUCAGAAAUAAAACUUAAACUGGGGAUUCUUUCUAGGAAUGCAAAACACACACCACUCUUGGUAAAUAUUGGGGAAAUGGUUUGCAGAAAUCUUUCUCCAUUGUCAUUGUCUGUUGCAAUGACUCCAAUCCAUGUCCACCUGAAAUGCAGAAGCAAAGAGAGAAUUCCCUCAUACUGAAGGGCUUCUGAGGCUGCCAUCUGGUAGAAGGGAAGCCCUGGGCUUUUAUCAUUCAUCACCGGAGCAGAGCCAUAAAUGAGCUAAAAAGUAAGUGGAGGAAGAGAAGAGACAAAGUAGAUUCCUUUCACAGUAUUCAUAUACAUUAUGUGGUGAACCCUGUUAGUCUAAUACGCCCUUUGCUAAUGUUUCAGGGUUUGUUUGCCUCUCUCUUAGUUUUACAAAAGAAACACAUGCAGAUGGGCUGAAAACUGGGAUCAUCUCCCUUUUCUUAUUUUUAAACCUUUAAUUUGAUGACUGGAAAGGGAACUGUGUCUGUUUUAUAUUAUUUUUAGGAAUCUUUUUAACACACUGAUGACUGGAGCAAAGCAUUGUGUCUACUUCACUUAAAAACAAACAACUUUUUUAUGUCAUUGGAAAAUUUGGCAUGGUCUUCUAAAAUGCAUAAAACUGAAUGGGGGAACAUACCCUGCCACAAACAACAGAUUUCCUGGACAUUAUCUGGCUUUGUCAGAAUUGCAAGCAAUUUCCCUUUUCCAACAGCAACUCAUCUAACUUGGGUUAGAUGCACAUUUCUUCUCUGGAGCUUCGUCUUUCUUCUUCAUGAUGCACAUGUCCCAUCACACAGCAAAACUGUGCUGAUUCUUCUCAGACUUUAUUUAUGAACAUUUAUUUCACUUGUGAAUCAGCUGCUAACUAGUUUUACUGUUCUCCUGAAGAACUGGAUUGUAUCUGCAGUUUGCAAUAACUUCUCUAUAUCUUUAAUUAUGUCCAGUGGGCUAAAGAGGAAUAGUUAUUGUACUGGCUCCUACCUGUAAGGGUUUUGUAGCUGUAAGCAUUUCCCCCACUUCCCCAGCUUAUUUGACAUGCCCUCCUCACUAAUUUUUCCACUGGCGCCUAAAAUCUUAUUUCUUUUAUCCAGUAAGCAAUUCCCCCCUUUACUCAGCAGCUCAAUUCAGAUACCCUCCUAACUAAGCAGAAAAUGAUGCAUAACCAAAAACUGCUGGUGAGAGAGAAGCCCACUCUCCCAUCAGUGGCAUUUGUUAUAUACUGUAAGUGAUCUAAAUAUGUGUGUAAGACAGGGGAGAGUUACAUAUUUUUUCAGCUAUUGCAACCUUCCCCUUUAUUCAGGUUUGUCUGUCUGUCAGUCUGAAUGUUUGGUUAUAUUACAAUUAUGUACAACCUUUAUUUUCCAAGGAACUCAAGGUGGUGUACAUGGUUGUCCUUCCAAUUUCAUCUUCACCCGGAACUGAUGCUGAGGAACCUGCCUCUUCCUCUAUGCAAGCUAAUAGAGGUAUUGUACAUAGGUGUCCUACCUGCGGAAUCUUAUAGAUAUCCAAAAUAGUUGCCACAUAAAAGGAGAUUUCAGAAUCCAGUCCCCCAAUGACCCCUGCCAGAUAACUUUCAACAUCACAUAUAUAGUUAGGGACAAAUUUUUCCACCAUGGAUAAAAGCAGCAGUGUGGCAAGACAUGUGCUCCUUGCAUUGUUAUAGCUGUCAUAUAAGUGGAAGCCCAAGGUGAUAUUGGGUAGGAUGUGAGAGUCUUUGUUGAUCUCCUUGACUGCAAAUGCCAAGGCCACAAUGUGCUGGUAAAGCUUAGGCACCACCCUAGAAUGAGAGUUGCAAACUGUAUCAGCAGGAACUUCAAAAGAUGUAUCCUUUUACAUAUCAACAGAGUAGUUAAUCAUAUUGAGUUCAGUGGGAUUAACUCUCUCUUUUUUUUUUAAAGAAUAUUUAUUCCAAUUUUAAGAUUACAGAAAAAGAAAAAAGCAAAAAAAAAAAAAAAGAGAAAAACAAAUCACAUACAUCCUACACACACAAAAAAACACCACACGGUACAGAGAAAAAUACAGAAGAGAAAAAAUCACAAUACAAAAGUAACAAAAAAUCAAAUUAAACCAUUAGAACCGUUUUCCCAUUUACUUAUUUCCGUGACUUCCUCUCACUUCUCUGCUUUGUAUUCUAGUUCAAAUCGUAUCUCCAGCAAACCCUUCUAACCUUCUUUUCAUUUACUUAUUUUAACAUUCGAAAAUAUUUAAUUCUCCUCUAUCUUUUAUUUUACACUUCAUAUUUACUUAUUCCAUUAUACUCUGUCUGCCAAUACGGUCUAAUAUUCUUCUCCAACCUUUUCUAACAUUCUUUUAUAUUACAGUAUUUCUGAAGAUAUGUUUUGAAUUUUUUCCAAUCUUCUUCCAUCGACCCUUCUUCUUGAUCUCGAAUUCUGCCGGUCAUCUCAGCCAGUUCCAUAUAGUCUAUCACUUUUCUCUGCCAUUCUUCUCGGGUAGGCAAUUCUUGUGUCUUCCAGUAUUUCCCAAUGAGUAUUCUUGCUGCUGCUGUCGCAUACAUAAAGAAAUUCCUGUCUUCCCUUCGCACCAAUUGGCCGACCAUGCCCAAGAGGAAAGCCUCUGGUUUCUUCAAGAAAGUAUAUUUCAAUACCUUUUUUAGUUCAUUAUAUAUCAUUUCCCAGAAGGCCUUGAUCUUUGGGCACGUCCACCAAAGGUGAAAAAAGUACCUUCAUUUUCUUUACAUUUCCAACAUUUAUUAUCAGGCAGAUGAUAAAUUUUUGCUAGCUUGACUGGGGUUAAGUACCACCUGUAAAUCAUUUUCAUUAUAUUUUCUCUUAAGGCGUUACAGGCCGUAAAUUUCAUACCUGUGGUCCAUAACCGUUCCCAGUCAGCAAACAUAAUAUUAUGCCCCACAUCUUGCGCCCAUUUAAUCAUAGCAGAUUUAACCAUUUCAUCCUGUGUAUUCCAUUUCAACAGCAGAUUAUACAUUCUUGACAGAUUUUUGGUUUUAGGUUCUAACAAUUCCGUUUCCAGUUUAGAUUUUUCCUCCUGGAAACCUAUCUUUUUAUCUAAGUUAAAAACCUCCCUUAUUUGAUAAUAAUGCAGCCAAUCUCGAACUUUAGUUCUUAAUUUGUCAAAGCUCUGCAAUUUUAGUUUAUCUCCGACUUGUUCUAAAAUUUCGCAAUAUUUUGGCCAGUUUGUCUCCAUAUUUGUUUUUUUCAAAGCCUUAGCCUCCAUUGGUGACAGCCACCUUGGUGUUUUACUUUCCAACAAAUCCUUAUAUCUCACCCAAACAUUAAAUAAUGCUUUCCUGACAAUAUGAUUCUUGAAGGCCUUAUGCGCUUUGACUUUGUCACAGUGGGAUUAACUCUCAGUCUGUUCCACUAUUGAAUAGCUCUUAUCAUUAGAAGGUUCUCUCUGAUGUUUAUUUGAAAUCUCCUUUCUGGUUACUUGAAAACCCUGAUUUGGAGCAAGAGAAAACAAGCAUGUUCCAUCUUCCUGGUGACAGCUCUUGAGAUAUUUGAAAAUGGCUAUUAUUCCUCCCCUCAGUCUCAUCUUAGAUAAACAUACUAAACCCCUCAUCCGUUCUUCAUAAGGCUUGGUUUCCAGACCAUCUUUGAUGCCCUCCUCUGCCCAUGUUCUAGCUUGUCAAUAUCCUUCUUAAAUUGUGGUGAUCAAAACUGGACACAGACUUCAGGUGACCAAGGCAGAAUAGAGCAGUACUAUUAUUUCCUUUCAUCAGGACACUAUACUUCUGUUGAUGCAGAUCCCUUGAACCUUUCCACAUGUACUACUGGCAAGCCAAGUUUUACUCAUCUUAGAUUUGUGUAUUUGUCCCUAUUGUAAUUCAUGUUCUUACUUUUGUCCAAGUUUUAAAAUGUUUUAAGCUUAAUAGUAUCUAGAUCAGGGGUUGCUAAUGUGGGGUAAUGGGAGGUUUUCCCUUACAUGUCUGAGGUCUUUUUCUGACACUUACAAAGUCUCUGGUCUCUCUGGUCUCUCCCUGCAGUGACUUCGUUUUCGUGAGUCAGUGAUGGUCGUUGGAAUUCACUGAAUUCUAUACUUACUAAUAAGUACCUUUCAGUGCUGAAACAAAGCUUAGUCUAAGUUCAGAUUAUGAAAGCAUAAGGACAUUCAGCUUCAGAACAGGUUUUUAAAAAUACAUUCUUACUAAUACUCUAAUAGUUUAGGUAAAGUCUAGCAAAAUGGGCUGCUCAAAAGGCCUCUCCUAGACACACAAACAUGCAUACAUUUCAGUAUUCAUUUCUCUAUUCAGAAAUGGGAAUUUCUCCUAUAUUCUCUUAAUUCACAAGACAUUUGUUCCAUUUUAUUGCACCAGCAUAAGUCCCAUUCAUAUCUAAACUGGAUUCCCCCAGGUAAAAGGGUAAACAUUUGCUGCCUCACUCAUUAUUCUGAGGCCGCAACUCUAGGUUUGAUCAUUCCUUUGAUGUAAUAAAAUGAGUGGCUUAGUUCUUACACAAGCUCUUCAGGCAGUGCUGGUGGGGGUUCCUCAGUGAAUGUUGCUGGAGAGGAGAAGAAGCCACCAUGGAAAACAAUGCCACCAAUGAGGAACUCUCCUGGCUGAUGAUAUGUGUGAAGUGGAUGUUUUCGACCAUGGAGCCUGCAUUUUGCUAUGUGAGCCUCACAUAUAUUGUAAGAAAUCAGUUCAAGCAGCAAGAUCACUAAAAACACCAUCCUUAAUACAAAGGCAACUAUUUGUUUUAUGCAGAAACUAUGGUUUUUUCUGGCAAUACUACAAUAGGUUUCUCCAAGAUAAAAAUUGUCUCAUUUAAAUAAUAGAUUAAUUUCCCGAGAGGACACAAUACGGGAGUAUCCAAAAUUAGACUUGCUGAUCCCAGACAGUAUUUAAAUAAUUCUGGUUAAGUUGUAGUAUCCUUUGUGUUAUGUUGCCAGUGGCCAGAGAAAAUACACAGGGAUUUUUGAGGAGCAGCAUAUUAAUUAUAGCCCUGUUAAUAACCAAGCAGGAGUGUAGUUGUUCAUCCAAUGCUCGGGAUUCCCUGUGGAAGUGCAGAAGAAAAUUGCUGAAGAAAAUAUUCAGAACUGUUAUUUUAUUUUCCCUUUCAGAAGAUGAUAAUAGACCAGUGGUGUAUGGGUGAAAUGAGAAGUUAGAAGACCUUGUAGCCAAUGAAGACUCCAAAAUGAAGAAUGGUGUAGUCAGCAUCUUGGAAUUUGGCUGAGUGGACCUGGAUUCACACCAGCCAUAUGGCAUGUCUGCAAUGGCUGCUCAUUGCUGUUCUGUGGGAUUACAGUUGUGUCCCCUGGCUCUCAGCCUCCUUCCCCUGUGCCUUGGGAAUGCAUGUUUGCUCAAACCCUCAAGGGCAAAUGCCCCUGUGAUUCUGGAGAGGUUGAGUUGGUGCCCCAGGUCCUCCUGUAUGACUCCUUUUUAUUUUUUUUUAAUAUGUAUUCUGCUUCACUUCCAGUAGGGCAAGGGUUGGAGAUGUGUGGCACUCCAGAUGUUGAUGGAUUCCAAAACCAACCAACCCCAGCCAGUAUGGAAAAUGGUCAGCAAUGACGAGGGCUGUAGUCUAGCAAUAUCUGGAGGACUAUAGGCUUCCCAGCCAAAUUUUAGAGGAUUAAAAGUACAUAACAACAAAAGAAAUAAUAUGUCUGCCUGUGUUUUUAUAUCUGCUGUAAGCCACUCAAAGUGGCCGGGGAAACUCAGCCAGGUGGGUGGGUUAUAAAUAAUUAAAUUAUUAUUAUUAUUAUUAUUAUUAUUAUUAUUAUUAUUAUUAUCAGUCCUACUUCCUUCCAUUCCUGUCUCCACUUGAAUACCCUGGACCUUCUGCAAGGAGGGCAUAAUCUUACAGACAAAUCUUACAGACAAGCAGAUAACAAGAAAAGAAAUAAUAUGUUUUACUGUGUUAAAGUGGUUGGGGAACACAGCCAAAUGAGUGGGUUAUAAAUAACAAAUUUAUUACUAUCAUUAUCAUUAUUAUUAGUCCUACUUCCUUCUAUUCCUCUCUCCACUUGAAUACCCUGGACCUUCUGCAAGGAGGGCAUAAUCUUACAGACAAUACUUAACAAGCAUAGUCCACAGAUGUCCACAGAGAAAUAAAUGUUUUAAGGUUUAAUGGGGCUUACUCUGGUUUACUUGCAUUCUCCAUUCAUCAUGGUUAGAUCUAAUCAAUUUUAUCUGCUCAUCAAACAUUUGAUGAAGGGUGCCAACAGUCAGUGGAAUAUCCAACAAUAUACUUGUCACAUAUAUGAUACGUAUAUGUAUUAAGUAUAGAGUGUUCUGAUACAUCACAUGUGUUGGUGAAAUAAAACUUUUCAAUUGUUGCUCCCCAUCUGUCAAAUGCGUUGCACAGUGAGGUCUGCAUGGUCCUUUGCUGUCAUCUUUUCCAAGGACCAGAGGGCAGAAUUCAUUUACAUUUUCUUGUCUAGGACUCUGAAUUUCUCCAAGGAGACAUGAUUCAGAAAAAAUCUUGUGGGGAGGGGAACCCAAUUCAAUGGCGAGUAUGUUAUCUCACAGUACAUUGAUAAACUAUGGAACUCAAUGACAUAGGAAACAAUGGUGGGGACAGUGCAUUUGCGGCUUGACAGUUUCCCACAGGCAUCUGGUUGGUCAGUGAGAGUUCAAGCUGCGGGACCAGAUGGGCCAUUGGCCUGAUUUAAGAGGAUCAUCUUCCAUUUCUAUGAUCUUGGUUAUGGAUAGGUUGAUGGUGAAAUAUGACUGUUAGCAGAACAGAACAAUAAUUCAUAAAUGAGUAUUCGUAUGUUCGAUGGCCACAAUUGUACAGUUUCACAGAUCCUAUUAUGUUGAAAGCUGUAAGACAACUUUGAUCAUUCAGAAUUAAGGACAGAUAAAGAUUUCCUUGCAUAUAUUUUGACAAGAAUUGUUCUGAGUCUUCUUGUCAGCACAUGCUACAAGAGAAUAAUGAAUGUGUAAACAUAAGAUUCUUUUCUUCAAAGCAGAUAAGUCAGUUUUACAAAUGAAUUUUCAACUAUGGGAAUUUGGAUUCUAGAAAAAAAUAUAAAAGGCAGCAGCUGAACUUAUAUUUCCAAAUAUUCUACAGUUCACAGAGAAAAGCACGAAAGACAGCAAAGGGCAGGUUUAUUAUUUCUUUAAUUUUUCUUCCUUAUUAGCUGUUCUCUAUUGUUCAGCUCAGGCCUCAGAAUAAUUAUAUAACAUUUGGGGGAAAAGAUGCAACCCAGCAACCCACCACCGGAGGCUAAGAUGGAGAAGAUCUCCACAGCUACCAUGUAUUUUCCCUUGGUGCUCAGGUAGGAGGGAAUAAAGGACAGCCAAACACUGCAGAAGACCAACAUGCUGAAAGAGAUAAACUUGGCUUCGUUGAAACUGUCCGGUAACUUCCUGGCGAGGAAAGCCACAGCAAAGCUUACAGUUGCCAGGCAGCUCAUGUAGAUGAGGACACAGUAAAACAUUGUUACAGACCCUUCAUUACAUUCUAGUAUAAUUUCUUCUGUCAUUGAGUGCAUGUCCACAUCUGGGUAUGGGGGAGAGGUUGCCAGCCACACAGUACAUAUCCCUGCUUGAACAAUGGAGCAGGAAAGGAGAAUGGAGUGGCCUAGUCCUUUCCCCACCCAUUUCCUCAUCCUGGAUUCUGGUUUUGUAGCCAUGAAGGCCAAAACCACCAUGAAGGUUUUUGCCAGGACACAGGAAACAGCGGUUGAGAAGAUGAUACCAAAAGCUGGUUGCCGGAGGAGACAUGUGACCUUUUCAGGUCGGCCAAUGAAGAGCAAUGCACAAAGGAAGCAGAGCAGGAGAGAGAUGAGGAGAGUAUAGGUGAGGUUUCGGUUGUUUGCAAUGACAAUGGGUGUGUCGUGGUGCUUCAUAAAUAUACCUAGUAGCAGAGCUGUGAUCAAGGAAAGGGAAAGAGAGAAACAGGCCAAACUGAUGCCCAAAGGUUCUUCAUAAGACAAGAAGCUUAUAUCCUUGGGUAGACAGGCAUCCCGGUUCUUGCUUGGAUAGUCUUUGUCUGGGCAUUUAUUACAGUCAUUCAUAUCUGGGGAGA